AAUCAUUCUGCUGUGUCAUUUUGUGUCUUAUGUUCCUAUUUAGGAGAGAAAAUGGAGGCUAAAAGCAAUAAUGAGUUUCAGGUAGUUUUCUCUGAAGCAACUCAAUCAGAUUCCACCAUUCAGUGUCACCUAUAUCCUGAAAUCAGUGCUGUCAAUAUGGAGAUUAGAUGGUUUAAGGAAACAGACUGUGUGUAUUUCUAUAAGAACAAACGGUUGAUAAAGGGGGAGAGUUAUGAAGGCAUAAAGAGUCUAUGCAUUGACGAGCUGGAGAGAGGAAUUGUGUCCUUACAGCUGAAGGAUGUCAGGGAAUCAUAUGCUGGUGAUUACCUGUGUCAGGUCACCAGUGGAGACUGGACAGAGGAGAUAACAAUAAGAAAAUCAUGUUUCCCAACAGCAGUAAAGACCCAUGAAGAUCAGACUGAAAUGCCUCAACAAACAGCCACACUAUGGACUAAACCGAUCGACAAAGCAUGGACUGAUAAGGAGAGAAUAAAAAUGGCAAAUUCUGCUUUACUGGCAGGUGAAUGCUGUUAGAACUCAUAUUUUUCAUGUGUCAAAAGAUCAGGACAGACACAAGGAACUUAUUGGACUCCUCUGGUAAAACAAAGCUUAAAGUAAAUGAAGUUUGAACACAGAGCACAUGAUUUAUUCGUUUUCUAUUGUCUAGAAAAAGAUGCGCUAAAGGAAGAUCUUCAGGGCAUUAAUGCUACAAUGCAGCAGACAGACAUAGAAGUUGAGGAGAACCAGAAUGAGACUGAGGAGAAAGACACACAACAGGAGGAAACAAGCGGACAUAUGCAUGAGAGCACAAAUCUCUUAGUGAUGGAAACCAGUACCUGUAAGCUGGAGGAACAGGAAACCGAACCAGGAAACCAAAUCUUACAUCUGGGCAAUCAACAACCGGGAUGUUCAAGUCAGAAAUCACCAGACAGUGGUGGGUGUCACAUUUAUAGUGUCAGGAUACAUUUGAAUUAAGAAUUUGUGUAUAUUCCAAAGUUCAUCUGCACUUGAACAUACAUAUUCUCAUGAAGAUAGUGGA
This is an RNA transcript of Sinocyclocheilus anshuiensis, 1039 nucleotides long. RefSeq lists it as uncharacterized. The transcript is spliced from 5 exons. The record is from RefSeq and is a predicted model, not a curated record. Lineage: Eukaryota; Metazoa; Chordata; Actinopteri; Cypriniformes; Cyprinidae.